RNAcentral lists this microRNA (21 nucleotides) under Picea abies (Norway spruce). RNAcentral describes it as "pab-miR11533b". The record is from miRBase by way of RNAcentral. Lineage: Eukaryota; Viridiplantae; Streptophyta; Pinopsida; Pinales; Pinaceae.
UGAUAAGUUUCUCAUCUUCCU